CACAUGCAAGUCGAACGGUAGCACAGAGGAGCUUGCUCCUUGGGUGACGAGUGGCGGACGGGUGAGUAAUGUCUGGGAAACUGCCCGAUGGAGGGGGAUAACUACUGGAAACGGUAGCUAAUACCGCAUAACGUCGCAAGACCAAAGAGGGGGACCUUCGGGCCUCUUGCCAUCGGAUGUGCCCAGAUGGGAUUAGCUAGUAGGUGGGGUAACGGCUCACCUAGGCGACGAUCCCUAGCUGGUCUGAGAGGAUGACCAGCCACACUGGAACUGAGACACGGUCCAGACUCCUACGGGAGGCAGCAGUGGGGAAUAUUGCACAAUGGGCGCAAGCCUGAUGCAGCCAUGCCGCGUGUAUGAAGAAGGCCUUCGGGUUGUAAAGUACUUUCAGCGAGGAGGAAGGCGUUGUGGUUAAUAACCGCAACGAUUGACGUUACUCGCAGAAGAAGCACC
This 453-nucleotide ribosomal RNA is filed under the name uncultured Enterobacterales bacterium. Its description in RNAcentral is "bacterial SSU rRNA". It matches the Rfam family "Bacterial small subunit ribosomal RNA", at positions 52 to 494 of the family's 1533-position model. The record is from RNAcentral. Lineage: Bacteria; Pseudomonadati; Pseudomonadota; Gammaproteobacteria; Enterobacterales.